GAUAAACGCUGGCGGCGUGCUUAACACAUGCAAGUCGAACGGAGUAGUUCUCCCGAGGAUUGAUGAAGCUUGCUUCUGAUAAACUCAUUUGAGCUACUUAGUGGCGGACGGGUGAGUAACGCGUGGGUAACCUGCCCUAUGCAGGGGGAUAACAGUUGGAAACGACUGUUAAUACCGCAUAAGCGCACAGUAUCGCAUGGUACAGUGUGAAAAACUCCGGUGGCAUAGGAUGGACCCGCGUCUGAUUAGCUAGUUGGUGAGGUAACGGCCCACCAAGGCGACGAUCAGUAGCCGGCCUGAGAGGGUGUACGGCCACAUUGGGACUGAGACACGGCCCAAACUCC
Molecule: ribosomal RNA, 344 nt
Filed under: uncultured Coprococcus sp.
Lineage: Bacteria; Bacillati; Bacillota; Clostridia; Lachnospirales; Lachnospiraceae
Description: bacterial SSU rRNA
Rfam family: Bacterial small subunit ribosomal RNA
Source: RNAcentral